CUGUGCCGUAUCGAAGAUGAUAUAGGCAACAUAUGUCAUAUACCUUGCUGUAUAUGACACAGCACUCCGCGACAGGACCAGGCUCGUCCUGUCUCAUCGUCGCACUAUGGUGCGACGACGCGAUUCCGUGUUGAAUGACGUUUGCCCUCGUCUGGGCAACGUCCGGAGGA
Molecule: non-coding RNA, 170 nt
Filed under: Chloroflexus aggregans DSM 9485
Lineage: Bacteria; Bacillati; Chloroflexota; Chloroflexia; Chloroflexales; Chloroflexaceae
Source: Rfam by way of RNAcentral